RNAcentral lists this ribosomal RNA (531 nucleotides) under uncultured Flavobacterium sp. RNAcentral's name for it is "bacterial SSU rRNA". It matches the Rfam family "Bacterial small subunit ribosomal RNA", at positions 90 to 619 of the family's 1533-position model. Lineage: Bacteria; Pseudomonadati; Bacteroidota; Flavobacteriia; Flavobacteriales; Flavobacteriaceae. The record is from RNAcentral.
AGAGACCGGCGCACGGGUGCGUAACGCGUAUGCAAUCUACCUUUUACAGGGGAAUAGCCCAGAGAAAUUUGGAUUAAUGCCCCAUAGUAUAGCAGUUUCGCAUGAAACUACUAUUAAAGUUCCAACGGUAAAAGAUGAGCAUGCGUCCCAUUAGCUAGAUGGUAAGGUAACGGCUUACCAUGGCGACGAUGGGUAGGGGUCCUGAGAGGGAGAUCCCCCACACUGGUACUGAGACACGGACCAGACUCCUACGGGAGGCAGCAGUGAGGAAUAUUGGUCAAUGGACGCAAGUCUGAACCAGCCAUGCCGCGUGCAGGAUGACGGUCCUAUGGAUUGUAAACUGCUUUUGUACGAGAAGAAACACUCCUUCGUGAAGGAGCUUGACGGUAUCGUAAGAAUAAGGAUCGGCUAACUCCGUGCCAGCAGCCGCGGUAAUACGGAGGAUCCAAGCGUUAUCCGGAAUCAUUGGGUUUAAAGGGUCCGUAGGCGGUUUAGUAAGUCAGUGGUGAAAGCCCAUCGCUCAACGGUGGA